UGGGGAAUUUUGGACAAUGGGCGAAAGCCUGAUCCAGCAAUGCCGCGUGUGUGAAGAAGGCCUUCGGGUUGUAAAGCACUUUUGUCCGGAAAGAAAUCCUUGGCUCUAAUACAGUCGGGGGAUGACGGUACCGGAAGAAUAAGCACCGGCUAACUACGUGCCAGCAGCCGCGGUAAUACGUAGGGUGCAAGCGUUAAUCGGAAUUACUGGGCGUAAAGCGUGCGCAGGCGGUUUGCUAAGACCGAUGUAAAAUCCCCGGGCUCAACCUGGGAACUGCAUUGGUGACUGGCAGGCUAGAGUAUGGCAGAGGGGGGUAGAAUUCCACGUGUAGCAGUGAAAUGCGUAGAGAUGUGGAGGAAUACCGAUGGCGAAGGCAGCCCCCUGGGCCAAUACUGACGCUCAUGCACGAAAGCGUGGGGAGCAAACAGGAUUAGAUACCCUGGUAGUCCACGCCCUAAAACGAUGUCAACUAGUUGUUGGGGAUUCAUUUCCUUAGUAACGUAGCUAACGCGUGAAGUUGACCGCCUGGGGAGUACGGUCGCAAGAUUAAAACUCAAAUGAAUUGACGGGGUCAUAGCUGUUUCCU
This 586-nucleotide ribosomal RNA is filed under the name uncultured bacterium. Its description in RNAcentral is "partial 16S ribosomal RNA". It matches the Rfam family "Bacterial small subunit ribosomal RNA", at positions 355 to 1375 of the family's 1533-position model. The record is from RNAcentral.